GACGAACGCUGGCGGCGUGCUUAACACAUGCAAGUCGAACGGAAAGGCCCAGCUUGCUGGGUGCUCGAGUGGCGAACGGGUGAGUAACACGUGGGUGAUCUGCCCCUCACUUCGGGAUAAGCUUGGGAAACUGGGUCUAAUACCGGAUAGGACAAUCGUUUAGUGUCGGUGGUGGAAAGUUUUUUCGGUUAGGGAUGAGCCCGCGGCCUAUCAGCUUGUUGGUGGGGUAAUGGCCUACCAAGGCGUCGACGGGUAGCCGGCCUGAGAGGGUGGACGGCCACAUUGGGACUGAGAUACGGCCCAGACUCCUACGGGAGGCAGCAGUGGGGAAUAUUGCACAAUGGGCGCAAGCCUGAUGCAGCGACGCCGCGUGGGGGAUGACGGCCUUCGGGUUGUAAACCUCUUUCGACAGGGACGAAGCUUUGGUGACGGUACCUGUAUAAGAAGCACCGGCUAACUACGUG
This 464-nucleotide ribosomal RNA is filed under the name uncultured bacterium. Its description in RNAcentral is "partial 16S ribosomal RNA". It matches the Rfam family "Bacterial small subunit ribosomal RNA", at positions 28 to 507 of the family's 1533-position model. The record is from RNAcentral.